UAAGGAAUAUUGGUCAAUGGGCGGAAGCCUGAACCAGCCAUCCCGCGUGCAGGAUGAAGGCCCUAUGGGUUGUAAACUGCUUUAGACUGAGAAGAAACCCCUCAAUGCGUUGGGGGCUGACGGUAUCAGUAGAAUAAGCACCGGCUAACUCCGUGCCAGCAGCCGCGGUAAUACGGAGGGUGCAAGCGUUAUCCGGAAUCACUGGGUUUAAAGGGUGCGUAGGCGGCUUGAUAAGUCAGAGGUGAAAGCCCGCAGCUUAACUGCGGAACUGCCUUUGAUACUGUUGAGCUUGAAACAGGACGAGGUUGGCGGAAUGUGGCAUGUAGCGGUGAAAUGCAUAGAUAUGCCAUAGAACACCGAUUGCGAAGGCAGCUGGCUAGACCUGAUUUGACGCUGAGGC
Molecule: ribosomal RNA, 400 nt
Filed under: uncultured bacterium
Lineage: Bacteria
Description: bacterial SSU rRNA
Rfam family: Bacterial small subunit ribosomal RNA
Source: RNAcentral